This 406-nucleotide ribosomal RNA is filed under the name uncultured bacterium. RNAcentral describes it as "partial 16S ribosomal RNA". It matches the Rfam family "Bacterial small subunit ribosomal RNA", at positions 30 to 526 of the family's 1533-position model. The record is from RNAcentral.
AUUGAACGCUGGCGGCAGGCCUAACACAUGCAAGUCGAACGAGUGGCGGACGGGUGAGUAAUGUCUGGGAAACUGCCUGAUGGAGGGGGAUAACUACUGGAAACGGUAGCUAAUACCGCAUACCAUCAGAUGUGCCCAUAUGGGAUUAGCUAGUUGGUGGGGUAACGGCUAACCAGGGCUACGAUCCCUAGAUGGUCUGAGGGGAAGACAAGCCACACUGGAAGUGAGACACGGUCCAGACUCCUACGGGAGGCAGCAGUGGGGAAUAUUGCACAAUGGGCGCAAGCCUGAUGCAGCCAUGCCGCGUGUAUGAAGAAGGCCUUCGGGUUGUAAAGUACUUUCAGCGGGGAGGCGUUACCCGCAGAAGAAGCACCGGCUAACUCCGUGCCAGCCGCCGCGGUAAUUC